Molecule: non-coding RNA, 240 nt
Organism: Vicia faba (fava bean)
Lineage: Eukaryota; Viridiplantae; Streptophyta; Magnoliopsida; Fabales; Fabaceae
Source: the annotation of a GenBank genome assembly
AUGCCAUUGGUUGUAUUUUCCACAACAAGGUUGAAACAUUUCCUUUUGUGUUACACUAUUCUAGGUGAACCAAUUAAUCCACCAGUCAUGAGGAGAGCUCCAGGACGACCCAAAAAGAAAAGAAACAAAUCUAAUAAUGAGCCUACUUCAAGCAAUGUCUUGCCUAGAAAUUUGACAACUGUCAAGUGUAAAAGCUGUGAGAAUUUUGGGCACAAUUCAAGAACGUGCAAAGGAAAGUAA